This 468-nucleotide ribosomal RNA is filed under the name uncultured bacterium. RNAcentral describes it as "partial 16S ribosomal RNA". It matches the Rfam family "Bacterial small subunit ribosomal RNA", at positions 28 to 523 of the family's 1533-position model. The record is from RNAcentral.
GAUGAACGCUGGCGGCGUGCCUAACGCAUGCAAGUCGAGCGAUUUACUUCGGUAAAGAGCGGCGGACGGGUGAGUAACGCGUGGGUAACCUGCCCUGUACACACGGAUAACAUACCGAAAGGUAUGCUAAUACGGGAUAAUAUGUUUUGAUCGCAUGGUCGAAAUAUCAAAGCUCCGGCGGUACAGGAUGGACCCGCGUCUGAUUAGCUAGUUGGUGAGGUAAUGGCUUACCAAGGCGACGAUCAGUAGCCGACAUGCGAGGGUUAUCGGCCACAUUGGAACUGGGACACGGUCCAAACUCCUACGGGAGGCAGCAGUGGGGAAUAUAGCACAAUGGGCGAAAGCCUGAUACAGCAACGCCGCGUGAGCGAUGAAGGCCUUCGGGUCGUAAAGCUCUGUCCUCAAGGAAGAUAAUGACGGUACUUGAGGAGGAAGCCCCGGCUAACUACGUGCCAGCCGCCGCCGUAA